RNAcentral lists this transfer RNA (68 nucleotides) under Naticarius hebraeus. Its description in RNAcentral is "tRNA-Cys". It matches the Rfam family "tRNA". Rfam says of the family: Transfer RNA (tRNA) molecules are approximately 80 nucleotides in length. Their secondary structure includes four short double-helical elements and three loops (D, anti-codon, and T loops). Further hydrogen bonds mediate the characteristic L-shaped molecular structure. tRNAs have two regions of fundamental functional importance: the anti-codon, which is responsible for specific mRNA codon recognition, and the 3' end, to which the tRNAs corresponding amino acid is attached (by aminoacyl-tRNA synthetases). tRNAs cope with the degeneracy of the genetic code in two manners: having more than one tRNA (with a specific anti-codon) for a particular amino acid; and 'wobble' base-pairing, i.e. permitting non-standard base-pairing at the 3rd anti-codon position. Lineage: Eukaryota; Metazoa; Mollusca; Gastropoda; Littorinimorpha; Naticidae. The record is from RNAcentral.
ACCUGCUAUAGUUUAAAUAAAACAUUGAAUUGCAAGUUCGAAAAUGGAAUUAAAUAUUCUAGCAAGUU